CCUACGGGUGGCAGCAGUGAGGAAUAUUGGUCAAUGGGCUUACGCCUGAACCAGCCAAGUCGCGUGAGGGAAGACUGCCCUAUGGGUUGUAAACCUCUUUUGUCAGGGAGCAACGCCGGCUACGUGUAGCCGGACUGAGAGUACCUGAAGAAAAAGCAUCCGCUAACUCCGUGCCAGCAGCCGCGGUAAUACGGAGGAUGCGAGUGUUAUCCGGAUGUAUUGGGUUAAAGGGGUGCGUAGGCGGAAUGCCAAGUCAGCGGUAAAACCGCGGGGCUCAACCUCGCUCCGCCGUUGAAACUGGCGUUCUUGAGUGGGCGAGAGGUAUGCGGAAUGCGUGGUGUAGCGGUGAAAUGCAUAGAGAUCACGCAGAACUCCGAUUGCGAAGGCAGCAUACCGGCGCCCAACUGACGCUGAAGCACGAAAGCGUGGGUAUCGAACAGGAUUAGAUACCCUGGUAGUC
This 460-nucleotide ribosomal RNA is filed under the name uncultured bacterium. RNAcentral's name for it is "partial 16S ribosomal RNA". It matches the Rfam family "Bacterial small subunit ribosomal RNA", at positions 338 to 795 of the family's 1533-position model. The record is from RNAcentral.